This 432-nucleotide ribosomal RNA is filed under the name uncultured bacterium. RNAcentral describes it as "bacterial SSU rRNA". It matches the Rfam family "Bacterial small subunit ribosomal RNA", at positions 395 to 823 of the family's 1533-position model. The record is from RNAcentral.
CGCCGCGUGGAGGAUGAAGGUUUUAGGAUUGUAAACUCCUGGUAAGUGGGAAGAAAGACUCAUCCUUAAUACGGAUGAGGGAUGACGGUACCAUUAGAGAAAGCACCGGCUAACUUCGUGCCAGCAGCCGCGGUAAGACGAGGGGUGCAAGCGUUAUUCGGAAUUAUUGGGCGUAAAGGGUGCGUAGGCGGUAUGCUAAGUCAAUCGUUAAAUUUUCCGGCCUAACUGGAAGCAGGCGAUAGAUACUGGUGUACUAGAGGGUGAGAGAGAGAAGUGGAAUUCUCGGAGUAGCGGUAAAAUGCGUGGAUCUCGAGAGGAACACCAAUGGCGAAGGCAGCUUCUUGGCUCACUUCUGACGCUCAAGCACGAAAGCGUGGGGAGCAACAGGAUUAGAUCCCUGGUAGUCCACGCUGUAACGAUGAUCCUAGACGU